UCUAAGUUAGUAUAAAUUUAUUAUGUCUGUUUUUCGUGCAGAUGAUAAAAGUAAUUUUAUUUAGAU
Molecule: transfer RNA, 66 nt
Filed under: Diplorchis hangzhouensis
Lineage: Eukaryota; Metazoa; Platyhelminthes; Monogenea; Polystomatidea; Polystomatidae
Description: tRNA-Glu
Source: RNAcentral